Trichonephila inaurata madagascariensis is the source of this 77-nucleotide non-coding RNA. NCBI's taxonomy places the organism in Eukaryota, Metazoa, Arthropoda, Arachnida, Araneae, Nephilidae. The record is from the annotation of a GenBank genome assembly.
GCCGAAAUAGCUCCAGUUUAGAGAGCGUUAGACUGAGAAGAUCUAAAAGGUCCCUAGUUCAAUCCCGGGUUUCGGCA